RNAcentral lists this unclassified non-coding RNA (1772 nucleotides) under Hevea brasiliensis (rubber tree). The record is from RNAcentral. Lineage: Eukaryota; Viridiplantae; Streptophyta; Magnoliopsida; Malpighiales; Euphorbiaceae.
GGCAAAAAGGCAAAGCGCGUGAGAUCAUCAUCCACGAACUAAACCAAACCAAACCCACCUUAAUUAUCAGUUCAUCACUUCUCUGCGCUAAUCACUUCACUCUUUGCUAACCACCUAAGUUCCAACCAACCAAUUUCUCUAACUCCUACAUCACAAGAUGUCGAUUUUUUGACCCAAACUGAAAUCUGAACAACUCGGAUUUUCUUUUCUAUUUCCGAUUCCGUUGACCAGAGCGAAUCGAUGCUUUUUUGGCCCGUUUAGAUGGUGAUCUUCAACACCUCUAUUACUGCUUGGAUCCGUCACCUUCUCGCUUGCAUGGGGUAAUUCUCGACAUUUUCAUGCUCAAUUAGUGAUUUCUUUUUCCAAGUAUUAAAAACUGCUUUCUCAAAUUACUAGUAGCUUUGCUGGAUUUUCAGGGUUUUUCUCCCCCUAAUUUUAGGAUUGUGGAAUGACCGUCUUCUUGUUGUUAGUUGUAGUUGUGGGUAAUUGGAUUCUAGUGGUGAUUUCUACUUUUGAAGCCUAGUUGAGAUUAAUGGUGGGUAAAGAUUUAAUCUUGGAUUUACUACUCAUGGAAUUUCAGUUUUUAAUGAAGAUCCGGCAGAAUUCCAACUUCACUUUGCGCCAUGUUCCAUUGAAUUGAUUUUCUUUCGAAAUAUAUAUAAGACUAGGUUGAGAGCUUAAGAACUUUUGUCAGGAGGUUAACUAAUUGCUUUCUUAGCUAUUAAACAAACUAAAAUCUCUUGAAUCAUUUCAGUAAUUUUAAAGGGCAAAACUUCAUUACCAAAAGGAAAUUAAGUUUCUUUACCAGCAAUUAAAACACCCAAGAAGUUUUAUAUGUACUUCUUCUAAUGAGAAGGGAAAUGGUUGAAGCUAUAUUGUAUUAACUGCUUCCUAUGACAAAGUGGGAGUUUAUCCUUCUUGCCCCUUAAUUCCUCCCAUAUUGGGUGUGCUGGGUUCUUUCCCUCCUCACUUUGGACAUAACAAGCUAUUUUAACACAUGAGAACUAUGAUUAAGAACAAACGUUAAAGACUUCCAUUUUUGUAUAUCAUUCUUUUAUCUUUGUUGUAUGCUUUAGAGCUAAGCCUUUCAAGCUUUGAACAAACUCAACCCAGCAAACCUAGUAUGCUUUCUUGUGACUAUGUGCAUUAGCGACUUAAAUUAUUUUGUGGUAUCAUUUCUACUCUAUUACUUACAGCUUCUUCCAUUAGCUCCUUGCCAAAAAAUGGAAAUUAAACGUGUAAAUAAGAAUGUUUCUAUGCUACUGAAGCUCCAGUUUUUUCACAAGAAACCAAUCAACUUUCUGCUUCUCAGGAAAGUGAUGAUGGUGAUUGCAUGAUCUCUAGCUUGAGUUGAACAAACAUAUUGCAUGAUCUCUAGCUUGAGUUGAACAAACAUGUUAUGACCAUUGCCAAUCUUAGCUCUUUUUCUACAUCUGGCCUCAACUUUAUCAUUUUCAUUGCUAUCGUUUAUUGUAUUUGUAUAUAUUUAACCUGGUUUGCAACAGAGCAGUGGUUGUUUUGGUUGCUGUGCUAAAUCCACUCCAAUUAUUGCUGUGGAUGAACCAUCAAAAGGAUUGAGGAUACAAGGACGGGCAGUGAAGAAACCUAGCAUAUCAGAUGAUUUUUGGAGCACCAGCACAUGUGAUUUGGAGAACAGUGCUGUGCAAUCUCAGAGAAGUGUCUCAUCAAUCAGUGUAUCAAAUGUGAAUCUCAAUAGUAGCACCAGUGGCACAAGCAGCAAUUCUGACUUUGUAAAUCAUGGUCUUCUUCUU